GAGUCGCCGCGGUAAUACGAAGGGUGCAAGCGUUAAUCGGAAUUACUGGGCGUAAAGCGUGCGUAGGCGGUUUGUUAAGUCUGCUGUGAAAUCCCCGGGCUCAACCUGGGAAUGGCAGUGGAUACUGGCAAGCUAGAGUGUGUCAGAGGAUGGUGGAAUUCCCGGUGUAGCGGUGAAAUGCGUAGAGAUCGGGAGGAACAUCAGUGGCGAAGGCGGCCAUCUGGGACAACACUGACGCUGAGGCACGAAAGCGUGGGGAGCAAACAGGAUUAGAUACCCCUGUAGUCCCUGUCUCUUAUAC
This 301-nucleotide ribosomal RNA is filed under the name uncultured bacterium. Its description in RNAcentral is "partial 16S ribosomal RNA". It matches the Rfam family "Bacterial small subunit ribosomal RNA", at positions 509 to 807 of the family's 1533-position model. The record is from RNAcentral.